RNAcentral lists this ribosomal RNA (527 nucleotides) under uncultured bacterium. RNAcentral describes it as "bacterial SSU rRNA". It matches the Rfam family "Bacterial small subunit ribosomal RNA", at positions 110 to 658 of the family's 1533-position model. The record is from RNAcentral.
GUAACACGUGAGUAAUCUGCCCUAGCUCUGGGAUAGCUCCGGGAAACCGGGAUUAAUACCAGAUACGACACUUUAGACAUCUGUUGUGGUGGAAAGAAUUUCGGUAGGGAUGAGCUCGCGGCUAUCAGCUUGUUGGUGGGGUAAAGGCCUACCAAGGCGACGACGGGUAGCCGGCCUGAGAGGGCGACCGGCACACUGGGACUGAGACACGGCCCAGACUCCUACGGGAGGCAGCAGUGGGGAAUAUUGCGCAAUGGGCGAAAGCCUGACGCAGCGACGCCGCGUGGGGGAUGAAGGCCUUCGGGUUGUAAACCCCUUUCAGCAGGGACGAAGCGAAAAUGACGGUACCUAUAGAAGAAGCCCCGGCUAACUUCGUGCCAGCAGCCGCGGUAAUACGAGGGGGGCAAGCGUUGUUCGGAAUUAUUGGGCGUAAAGGGUGCGUAGGCGGUUUGACAAGUCUUAUGUGAAAUCUUCGGGCUCAACCGAAGUCUGCAUAGGAAACUGUCGGGCUUGAGUAUGGGCAGAGG